This 301-nucleotide ribosomal RNA is filed under the name uncultured bacterium. RNAcentral describes it as "partial 16S ribosomal RNA". It matches the Rfam family "Bacterial small subunit ribosomal RNA", at positions 509 to 807 of the family's 1533-position model. The record is from RNAcentral.
CAGCAGCCGCGGUAAUACAGAGGGUGCAAGCGUUAAUCGGAAUUACUGGGCGUAAAGCGCGCGUAGGUGGUUUGUUAAGUUGGAUGUGAAAUCCCCGGGCUCAACCUGGAAACUGCAUCCAAAACUGGCAAGCUAGAGUAUGGUAGAGGGUGGUGGAAUUUCCUGUGUAGCGGUGAAAUGCGUAGAUAUAGGAAGGAACACCAGUGGCGAAGGCGACCACCUGGACUGAUACUGACACUGAGGUGCGAAAGCGUGGGGAGCAAACAGGAUUAGAUACCCGCGUAGUCCCUGUCUCUUAUAC